This 686-nucleotide long non-coding RNA is filed under the name Physcomitrium patens. RNAcentral's name for it is "long non-coding RNA (PPAT_LNC005433)". The record is from RNAcentral. Lineage: Eukaryota; Viridiplantae; Streptophyta; Bryopsida; Funariales; Funariaceae.
UUUACCUUGUUUUGCCAACAUCUCUUUGAAGUACAUAAUUUCUUUUAGCAACAACAAACCAUCAGAAUGAAUCUUCAAUUCUUCAAAAGUCUCUUUAGUGAACUUGUGCCUAAUAUUCUUUAGAUUUCUUAAGUUCUUUUUCAUUGACACCUCUUUCAUCUGUUCUUUAAAAUCUUCGAACAAAGGUCCAACAACAAGUUUCAUCUUUUUAUCUACUAUCUUAUAUUUUACUUCAAUCACAACCUUUGAUGUUUGAAAAGAUUUAAUCAUAUCAUAAACUUCUCUCAAAUAAAUUUAUAAAACAUUAUCAUCAUCAUAUAAUCCAAUAGAUACAAUCAAUUCCAAAGGAUCUUCCAAUCUGUUUUCUUUAUAAAUACCAUUAAUCUUUUUAUUAUCUUUUAUUAUUUUUAAUCCACUUAAUUCUUUUUUAAUAGCAUACAAUAUAUAUAUAUAUUUUUUUAAAUCUUCAAUCUUCUUAUAUAUAAUACUUCUAUUUUUAAAAAUAUUAAUAAAUCUUACAUCAAAGGUACCAACAUCUAAAGAGAUUACCUCCCCUUUUGUACUUCUAUAAUCUUCCUUGAAUUCUUCAACAACUUUUGGUAAUAAACUUUCUCUUAAUUUGUUUUGAUUCUCAUCAUGAUUUAUUGGCUUAGUCAAAAAUUAUACUACACUUCUCUCAUCCUCAC